CAUGAAGCUGGAAUCGCUAGUAAUCGCGGAUCAGAAUGCCGCGGUGAAUACGUUCCCGGGUCUUGUACACACCGCCCGUCACACCAUGGGAGUCGGAAAUGCCCGAAGUCUGUGACCCAACCUCAGGGAGGGAGCAGCCGAAGGCAGGUCGGAUGACUGGGGUGAAGUCGUAACAAGGUAUC
Molecule: ribosomal RNA, 182 nt
Filed under: uncultured bacterium
Lineage: Bacteria
Description: partial 16S ribosomal RNA
Rfam family: Bacterial small subunit ribosomal RNA
Source: RNAcentral